UCUUGUGAUGAAAGCAUUGUCCAGUUCUGCUACUGAAGGAAAGGGAUGAAUGCUUUUUGUGCUGAAGAA
Molecule: small nucleolar RNA, 69 nt
Organism: Jaculus jaculus (lesser Egyptian jerboa)
Lineage: Eukaryota; Metazoa; Chordata; Mammalia; Rodentia; Dipodidae
Source: Ensembl